GUGCUUGCUUCGGCAGCACAUACCCUAAAAUUAGAAUGAUACAGAGAAGAUUAGCAUGGCCCCUGCACGCAAAUUCAUGAAGCAUUCCAAAUUUUU
RNAcentral lists this small nuclear RNA (96 nucleotides) under Microcebus murinus (gray mouse lemur). The record is from RNAcentral. Lineage: Eukaryota; Metazoa; Chordata; Mammalia; Primates; Cheirogaleidae.